This 484-nucleotide ribosomal RNA is filed under the name uncultured bacterium. RNAcentral's name for it is "partial 16S ribosomal RNA". It matches the Rfam family "Bacterial small subunit ribosomal RNA", at positions 30 to 507 of the family's 1533-position model. The record is from RNAcentral.
AUUGAACGCUGGCGGCAGGCCUAACACAUGCAAGUCGAGCGGAUGAAGGGAGCUUGCUCCUGGAUUCAGUGGCGGACGGGUGAGUAAUGCCUAGGAAUCUGCCUGGUAGUGGGGGAUAACGUCCGGAAACGGGCGCUAAUACCGCAUACGUCCUGAGGGAGAAAGUGGGGGAUCUUCGGACCUCACGCUAUCAGAUGAGCCUAGGUCGGAUUAGCUAGUUGGUGGGGUAAAGGCCUACCAAGGCGACGAUCCGUAACUGGUCUGAGAGGAUGAUCAGUCACACUGGAACUGAGACACGGUCCAGACUCCUACGGGAGGCAGCAGUGGGGAAUAUUGGACAAAGGGCGAAAGCCUGAUCCAGCCAUGCCGCGUGUGUGAAGAAGGUCUUCGGAUUGUAAAGCACUUUAAGUUGGGAGGAAGGGCAGUAAGUUAAUACCUUGCUGUUUUGACGUUACCAACAGAAUAAGCACCGGCUAACUUCGUG